UUUAUAGUAGUAAAAAUAUAACGAAGGACUUAAAAUCCUUAAUUGGAGAUGAAAUAUCCCCCUAUAAUU
Molecule: transfer RNA, 69 nt
Filed under: Ophiura sarsii
Lineage: Eukaryota; Metazoa; Echinodermata; Ophiuroidea; Amphilepidida; Ophiuridae
Description: tRNA-Leu
Rfam family: tRNA
About the family: Transfer RNA (tRNA) molecules are approximately 80 nucleotides in length. Their secondary structure includes four short double-helical elements and three loops (D, anti-codon, and T loops). Further hydrogen bonds mediate the characteristic L-shaped molecular structure. tRNAs have two regions of fundamental functional importance: the anti-codon, which is responsible for specific mRNA codon recognition, and the 3' end, to which the tRNAs corresponding amino acid is attached (by aminoacyl-tRNA synthetases). tRNAs cope with the degeneracy of the genetic code in two manners: having more than one tRNA (with a specific anti-codon) for a particular amino acid; and 'wobble' base-pairing, i.e. permitting non-standard base-pairing at the 3rd anti-codon position.
Source: RNAcentral